This 450-nucleotide ribosomal RNA is filed under the name uncultured Glomeromycotina. RNAcentral describes it as "SSU rRNA". It matches the Rfam family "Eukaryotic small subunit ribosomal RNA", at positions 569 to 1021 of the family's 1831-position model. Lineage: Eukaryota; Fungi; Glomeromycota. The record is from RNAcentral.
AGCAGCCGCGGUAAUUCCAGCUCCAAUAGCGUAUAUUAAAGUUGUUGCAGUUAAAAAGCUCGUAGUUGAAUUUCGGGGUUCAUCCGUUGGUCGGGCUUUUUGGUCUGUACUGGCGUGAUGGAUUCCUACCUUCUGAAUAACCAGCAUGUCAUUAAUUUGGUGCGCUGGGGAAGCAGGACUGUUACCUUGAAAAAAUUAGAGUGCUUAAAGCAGGCUAUCGCCUGAAUACAUUAGCAUGGAAUAAUGAAAUAGGACGGCAUGGUUCUAUUUUGUUGGUUUCUAGGAUCACCGUAAUGAUUAAUAGGGAUAGUUGGGGGCAUUAGUAUUCAAUUGUCAGAGGUGAAAUUCUUGGAUUUAUUGAAGACUAACUUCUGCGAAAGCAUUUGCCAAGGAUGUUUUCAUUAAUCAAGAACGAAAGUUAGGGGAUCGAGGACGAUCAGAUACCGUCGU